RNAcentral lists this ribosomal RNA (1104 nucleotides) under Triticum aestivum (bread wheat). RNAcentral's name for it is "partial small subunit ribosomal RNA". Lineage: Eukaryota; Viridiplantae; Streptophyta; Magnoliopsida; Poales; Poaceae. The record is from RNAcentral.
AUGGGACUGAUUGCGUCGCUCUGCUUCGUUCUCCAGGGCAGCAAGAAGAUCGUGGGCGUGUUGUACAAGGGCGGCGAGCACGCGGCGCAGAACCCCGGCUUCGUGGGCUGGGUGGAGAACGCGCUGGGCAUCCGCGGCUGGCUCGAGUCGCUGGGCCACCGGUACGUCGUCACCGACGACAAGGACGGCCCCGACUGCGGUCAGUUUGCUUUGAUCAACAACACACAUCACUUCACUUCCAUUACGUUAACAAGUGUCACGCUAACGGAUCAUGCAUGUCAUCCUGGGCGCGCGCGAGCAGAGCUGGAGAAGCACAUCGGGGACGCGCACGUGCUCGUCACCACGCCGUUCCACCCGGCGUACGUGGGCGCGGACCGGAUCGGCCGCGCCAACAACCUGGAGCUGCUCCUCACGGCGGGGAUCGGCUCCGACCACAGCGACCUGCCGGCGCCGAGGUCACGGGCAGCAACACCGUGUCGGGCCGUCGGCGGGGAGUGGGACCUGGCCGCCGUCGCGCACCGGGCCUACGACCUGGAGGGCAAGACGGUGGGCACCGUCGGCGCCGGCCGCAUCGGGAGGCUGCUGCUCCAGCGGCUCAAGCCCUUCGGCUGCACCCUGCUCUACCACGACCGGCUCCGCGUCGACGCCGCGCUGGAGGAGGAGCUCGGCGCCGCCUUCGAGGAGGAGGUCGACGCCAUGCUGCCCAAGUGCGACGUCGUCGUGCUCAACAUACCGCUCACCGACAAGACAAAGGGCAUGUUCGACAAGGAGAAGAUCGCCAAGAUGAAGAGAGGCGUCAUCAUCGUGAACAACGCGCUUGGCGCCAUCAUGGACACGCAGGCGGUGGCAGACGCUUGCAAAAGCGGGCACAUCGCCGGAUACGGCGGCGACGUGUGGUACCCGCAGCCGCCGCCCAAGGACCACCCGUGGAGGUACAUGCCCAACAACGCCAUGACACCUCACAUUUCCGGCACCACCAUCGACGCCCAGCUGAGAUACGCGGCCGGCGUGAAGGACAUGCUGGAGAGGUACUUCAAGGGGCAGGACUUCCCGGAGCCCAACUACAUUGUCAAGGAAGGCAAGCUCGCCAGCCAGUACCAGUGA